GAAUCGGUCAAACCGUCGCGGUUUUCCGCCGGUUUUGGGGGGGGGUUUUGCCUCAAAUUCGAGGUUCCCCCCCCCCUCGCUCGCUCCUACACUUACUCGUUUUGGGGAUAAAAGUCUAAAUUUAACCAUUCCUGCUGCUGGUUUUGGAGAAAAAACCUGAAAACAUGAUUAUUGUCCCCUCCCCCCGCGCCUGCUCCAGGCCCUCCCUCCGCGGGGUUUUGGGGGGGGUUUACUUCUUUUUUUCUCUAAGGAAAGCUCCUGGAGCCACAUUCCUGCUCUUCCAGCUUCACUUUGGGGCAAAAAAAGCUUCUUUUUGAUGCUGCUGACUCUUCCUACUUGCGGCUGUGGAAAGGGCGGAAAACACCCCAAAACCGCCCCCUCCCCACCAAAAACCGACCUCCCCAAAAAAUGAAAUGAAAUCGACUCUUACUUCUCUGAAUUCCCCAAAUCUGGGGGUUUUCUCCUCAAAUCCCUGCCGGAAUCUCCUGAGCGCGUUUUGAGUGCAGACUGGCCUUUUUUGGUUAAAUCCUUUCUUUUUUUUUUAUCACCGGCCCCUCCCGCGCGACGCCUUUGGGAUAAAAACAGAAGAUUUUGGACACUUACUGAGCGGCGCCGGCGGGAGCGGCGGAGCCGGAGGGCGCUGGAGGAAUUUGGGGGGUUUUCCCCAUUUCUGGGGAGUUUAAUAGAAAAAGGGGAAAGGGGAGGGGCGACGGCGGCGGCGCCUGCAACGACAAAACCCCAAAACCCCCCAAAUCCCCCCAAAAUUCCCAAACCCCCAGAAGGGGGUGGGGCCUCACCCGGCCGCUGCCUCCGGCUCCGUUUGGGGCAUUUUCCUCAAAUUCCUGAAUUUUCCCAGCUCCGGGGCACAAAUCGGGAUUUUUCUUCCUUUUUCUCCCUUUAUCCUUCUUUUUUUCAUUAUUUUUCGCUUCUAUUUUCUCCUCUAAAUCCUCUUUGAUUUUCUCUCAUUUUUCCUCUCUUCUAUUCUCUUCUGUUUUUUCUCUCUUCUCAUUUUUUCCCUGUUUUCUUUCACUUCCAUCUUCUCAAUUUUUCAGCACUUGGGAUUUUCUUUUUUUCUAUGAUUUUCUAUUUUCUUUUUUCAUUUUUCCCAAUUGUAUUUUUUCCAAUUGUAUUUUUUCUAUUUAUUUACAGUCUAUUUUAAUUUUUUCUAUUAUUUUUUUCUAGUCUUCUAUUUGUUCUAUUUUCUUUUUUCUAAUUUCUUCUAUUUUCUCCAAUUUUCUAUUUUAAUUUUUUCUAGUUUCUUCUAUUUUCCAAUUUUCUUCUCUUUUUUUUCUAUUUUCUUUUUUUCAUUUUUCUAUGCUUUUUCAAUUUUCUUUUUUUCCAAUUUCUAAUUUUCCAAU
RNAcentral lists this long non-coding RNA (1358 nucleotides) under Parus major (Great Tit). Its description in RNAcentral is "lncRNA (ENSPMJG00000015566.1)". The record is from RNAcentral. Lineage: Eukaryota; Metazoa; Chordata; Aves; Passeriformes; Paridae.